Molecule: long non-coding RNA, 577 nt
Organism: Homo sapiens (human)
Lineage: Eukaryota; Metazoa; Chordata; Mammalia; Primates; Hominidae
Source: Ensembl
GCUAAGAAAAAUCUGUAUGUUGAUUAUGGGUGCCAAGUUAAGAAAGUAUUGACUAAGCCUGGGUCUCAAGAAAUAAAAAGCAAACACAUGUACAAAACCCCAAAACAGCUAUCAAAUAGGCUGACAAAAGGAUUUGGGGUUAAAUUAGUCCCUCCCAAUAAAAGGCAGAGUACCCCCAAAUGGUACAGGAGGGAAAACCCACCUAAGUCUGGGCCAAUCAGUUGUCAUGUAACCUAGAAUUGACGGAGACUAACUGACCCUCUGCUCUGGGUUGUGGAGAUAUCAAAGCAGGAGGGGUUAAAGCAAGAGAGAACUUGUAACAAACAAUGUAGUAGAGUAGGUGGGCAGUGAACAUCUCUGAAGGGCACUUCCUCCUUGCCCCAGUAGGAAACGCAGUCAAGCUGGGGGCAAAGGAAGAGACCCAAUGACCCCUCGAAGAGCCCCACAAAGGAAAAGAGGGGCUCCUUUGCUGCUACUCUGCAGUAGGAGCAGGUUGAAUGUUUGCUGAACACAUUUGAAAAAGGAAGAGAGAAGAUAAUGGUCCUAAUGAAUGUGCAGGAGACAAUAGCAGCUCCAG